CAUGGUUUCAGUAUCUACUGUUCUUGCUUCAGCUUUCCACAUAUAGGAAUUUCUAUGUAGUAUGGAAAAAGGAAGAAUAGCAUUCCAGUUAUUUUUGGCUAGUAUGUAACUUAAUUGCAUACCAGCUGAAAAAAAAAAACACGUGAUUUCUGAAUACCUUCUAUAGCUAUUCUGCUUCUUUCCUAGAAGGAGAAGGAGGAGGAAGGGGAGGAGAAAGACGAAGAGAUGGAGGAAAACUGAAAAUGGUUGCCUUGCUCUUCCUGCUUCCACCUCAAACCCUAAAAUGACAGUUCUACAGAUGAGGGACAUGCAGAAUGGAAGAGAUAAACGCUUGCUGACCAUCAGGAAAUGGACAUAAUGGCAUUUAAGGACUAAACAUCUUGUUUAACAGUGAAUUUUAUGUAUUUAAGCCUAAGGUAAUAUUAAGGUAACAUUUCCUGAAAUCUAUUGAGUAAAAUGUUAACGGUUCCAUAGUUUGAGAUACUGUGGGGCCUGCUAUACUUCCUUGGUGGUUAACAAUUCACACAAUGUUAUCAAGGAAAAAUAAUUUAAAAAUAAAAGACAAACAAAAACAAAACCCAAAAAACAAAAACAACACACACACACACACAACACAACUUAUUAUUCACCCCAAUAUAUAUUAGAUGUAUUUAAUCAAAACUAUUUCUUUGAAAAAGUAUUAUUAAUGUCUUAAAGUUUAAUACUGUUUCUAAGGACCCAAUAUAAGAAAUUCUGGCCUAGAAAAUUGUUACAACAUGACAUGUCAACAACUCCAAGAUAGUUUAGUACAAUCUGUAUACUAGAUAACUAACUAGAGCAAAGUGAUAAUGAAUGAGGUGAUUAGAAUUAAGAAACUCUCUGUAGAAGACGAAUCUUGCCAGUAAAGAAAAGUGUGAUAGUGGGAAGGAAAAGAUAGGGCAGCGGGAGAAUAGAAAUAGGGAAGAUGAACUUUUGCCUAAAUUCCGAG
RNAcentral lists this long non-coding RNA (967 nucleotides) under Homo sapiens (human). RNAcentral's name for it is "HSALNT0203845". Lineage: Eukaryota; Metazoa; Chordata; Mammalia; Primates; Hominidae. The record is from RNAcentral.